CAUUCUACUAGUGGUCUUGAGAUGAUAAAAAGUGGGGCUUCUGAUUGGAUCUAAUGAUAUAAAGUAUUUGGCAAAAUGACAUGUAAGCAAGGUACUUGACAUUUAGCUGAUCUCAACAAACUUGGUUAGCAAACCCAACUAAUUUGGUAAGAGGGUUGGGACAAGCGUUCCUGAAGAUUUCAUGGGCACAUUGGAUGGGAUUAGAUCAAUACUCAUUCAUGUGACCCUGAGUUAGAUGUUAUCCAUUUGUGAAUUCAUUUGCAUUUAGCUACUAGCAGGCCUAUAAAGUAAAAUGAAUCAUAUGUGGAACGCAUUAGGCUUGCCUCAUUAACUUAUUGAAGUUAUAUUUGCUUGAACAAAGUUUCCUUCCCCUUUUCUGCAGCUUGUUGAACCACCCUAAAAAGUAAAAAUAAUUAAAUAAUUCAUCAACCUAUCAUAGACCUCACAUAUUGCAGCCUAUAUGAUGCUAAUGGAUAGAGCAAUGAGGUUGAAAAGUAUAUUUAUUACACCAAUUGUUGACUAAUGUGAGUAAAAAAAUAAUUACAGAGAAUCUGAACGUCCAUGUCGCUAGCUAUAUAGGAUCCACCAUC
This 590-nucleotide long non-coding RNA is filed under the name Elaeis guineensis (African oil palm). RNAcentral's name for it is "long non-coding RNA (EGUI_LNC022513)". Lineage: Eukaryota; Viridiplantae; Streptophyta; Magnoliopsida; Arecales; Arecaceae. The record is from RNAcentral.